This 1257-nucleotide non-coding RNA is filed under the name Mycoplasmoides gallisepticum S6. Lineage: Bacteria; Bacillati; Mycoplasmatota; Mycoplasmoidales; Mycoplasmoidaceae. The record is from RNAcentral.
AUUGAAGUCAAUAAAAAUAUGCCUCAUAUUAUGGGCGAUAAGCAUCAAAUUCACAUUAAUGACGUAGCCGCAAUAGUCAAAUCUGAUUAUCAACUAACUGAAGCAUUAAGUGUUGAUCCAAGUCCAGAACACUUGAAAAUAGCAGAUUAUGUAGCUUCAUUAAUUCAAGAUCGUUCUACGAUUCAAUUGGGUAUAGGUGCAAUUCCCAACAUGGUGUGCAAAAAACUUGUAAAUAAAAAAGACCUAGGAAUUCAUACAGAAAUCCUAGGUACUGGGAUGGUCGAACUUAUCAAACUUGGGGUGGUUAACAACAAAUAUAAAGAAAUCGACCAAGGGGUAUCAACGUUUGUAUUUGCUGUUGGAGACCAAGAUAUGUACAAAUAUCUUGAUCAUAACGAUAAAUUUAAAAUUGCACGAUUUGAUUAUGUAAAUAACCCAUUAAAUAUUGCCAAAUUCGAAAACUUUAUUUCGGUUAAUUCCGCUAUCGAAAUAGAUUUAUUAGGUAAUGUUAACGCUGAACAAAUUCAGCAUAACCAAUAUUCAGCUUCUGGUGGACAAGCAGAUUUUAUUAGAGGUGCUAGCUACUCUAAAAAUGGUAAGAGUAUCAUUGCAAUGAAAUCAACAACUAGUGAUUGCAAAAUUUCUAAGAUUGUAACCAGACUUAAAGGGGUUACAACAACACUAAGAAAUGAUUUAGAUUAUGUAAUAACCGAAUAUGGAAUUAUUAACUUAAAAGCUAAAUCAGUAAAACAACGCGCAAAAUUGCUAAUUAGUAUUGGCCAUCCUAAGUUUAGAUCUUAUUUAACUAGAGUUGCUAGAUCUAAACUACUUAUUGAUUAAUCUAUUUAAUAAUCUUGGUAAUUUUACCACCACCUACUACUCAUAAAUUUUGAUCAUAAAUAACACCAUACUGUCCAGGAGUUGCCCCGAUCUGUUUGGUGUACUUAACUAUCACUUUAUCAUCAUUAUAUGAAACAAUUUUGCACUCUUGUAACUUUUGGCGGUGUCUAAAUCUGAUUCAUAACUUCUUACUAAUUAAUUGAUCUUUAGUAUCAAUUAAUCAAUUAAAGUUUUCUAGUUCACAACUAACUGAACUUAGAUAUUGAUCUUUACUUGAUUCAUAACAAACAUAUAACGUAUUGUUGUUAUAAUCUUUGUCACAGACAAAGAUUUUCUCUCUAGUCCCUCCAACAUGGAGUCUUCGAGAUUGACCUAUUGUAUAAAAAUACAAUCCGUCGUGUUCACCAAUUUUUUUAU